This 318-nucleotide ribosomal RNA is filed under the name uncultured bacterium. Its description in RNAcentral is "bacterial SSU rRNA". It matches the Rfam family "Bacterial small subunit ribosomal RNA", at positions 28 to 334 of the family's 1533-position model. The record is from RNAcentral.
GAUGAACGCUAGCUACAGGCUUAACACAUGCAAGUCGAGGGGCAGCAUUUUAGUUUGCUUGCAAACUAAAGAUGGCGACCGGCGCACGGGUGAGUAACACGUAUCCAACCUGCCGAUAACUCGGGGAUAGCCUUUCGAAAGAAAGAUUAAUAUCCGAUAGUAUAUUAAAACCGCAUGGUUUUACUAUUAAAGAAUUUCGGUUAUCGAUGGGGAUGCGUUCCAUUAGUUUGUUGGCGGGGUAACGGCCCACCAAGACUACGAUGGAUAGGGGUUCUGAGAGGAAGGUCCCCCACAUUUGGAACUGAGACACGGUUCCAA